GGGCUCAUAGUAAAGUGGUAUUACGCGGCAUUCGCAUUGCCGAGGCCCGGGUUCGAUUCCCGGUGAGUCCACAA
RNAcentral lists this transfer RNA (74 nucleotides) under Candidatus Ryanbacteria bacterium RIFCSPHIGHO2_01_FULL_45_22. RNAcentral's name for it is "tRNA-Ala". It matches the Rfam family "tRNA". From Rfam's summary of the family: Transfer RNA (tRNA) molecules are approximately 80 nucleotides in length. Their secondary structure includes four short double-helical elements and three loops (D, anti-codon, and T loops). Further hydrogen bonds mediate the characteristic L-shaped molecular structure. tRNAs have two regions of fundamental functional importance: the anti-codon, which is responsible for specific mRNA codon recognition, and the 3' end, to which the tRNAs corresponding amino acid is attached (by aminoacyl-tRNA synthetases). tRNAs cope with the degeneracy of the genetic code in two manners: having more than one tRNA (with a specific anti-codon) for a particular amino acid; and 'wobble' base-pairing, i.e. permitting non-standard base-pairing at the 3rd anti-codon position. Lineage: Bacteria; Candidatus Ryaniibacteriota. The record is from RNAcentral.